GUGCGAAAGCAUGGGGAGCAAACAGGAUUAGAUACCCUGGUAAUCCAUGCCGUAAACGAUGUCUACUAGCCGUUGGGGCCUUUGAGGCUUUAGUGGCGCAGCUAACGCGAUAAGUAGACCGCCUGGGGAGUACGGUCGCAAGACUAAAACUCAAAUGAAUUGACGGGGGCCCGCACAAGCGGUGGAGCAUGUGGUUUAAUUCGAUGCAACGCGAAGAACCUUACCUGGCCUUGACAUAGUAAGAACUUUCCAGAGAUGGAUUGGUGCCUUCGGGAACUUACAUACAGGUGCUGCAUGGCUGUCGUCAGCUCGUGUCGUGAGAUGUUGGGUUAAGUCCCGCAACGAGCGCAACCCUUUUCCUUAUUUGCCAGCGAGUAAUGUCGGGAACUUUAAGGAUACUGCCAGUGACAAACUGGAGGAAGGCGGGGACGACGUCAAGUCAUCAUGGGCCUUACGGCCAGGGCUACACACGUGCUACAAUGGUCGGUACAAAGGGUUGCUACCUAGCGAUAGGAUGCUAAUCUCAAAAAGCCGAUCGUAGUCCGGAUUGGAGUCUGCAACUCGACUCCAUGGAGUCGGAAUCGCUAGUAAUCGCGGAUCAGAAUGCCGCGGUGAAUACGUUCCCGGGCCUUGUACACACCGCCCGUCACACCAUGGGAGUUUGUUGCACCAGAAGUAGGUAGUCUAACCGCAAGGAGGACGCUUACCACGGUGUGGCCGAUGACUGGGGUGAAGUCGUAACAAGGUA
RNAcentral lists this ribosomal RNA (748 nucleotides) under Acinetobacter sp. PH4. RNAcentral's name for it is "bacterial SSU rRNA". It matches the Rfam family "Bacterial small subunit ribosomal RNA", at positions 751 to 1498 of the family's 1533-position model. Lineage: Bacteria; Pseudomonadati; Pseudomonadota; Gammaproteobacteria; Moraxellales; Moraxellaceae. The record is from RNAcentral.